This 21-nucleotide non-coding RNA is filed under the name Caenorhabditis elegans. The record is from RNAcentral. Lineage: Eukaryota; Metazoa; Nematoda; Chromadorea; Rhabditida; Rhabditidae.
UUUCAGUAAUCUCUGUUGCAA